GAAAUGCGAUAAGUAGUGUGAAUUGCAGAAUUCAGUGAAUCAUCGAAUCUUUGAACGCACAUUGCGCCCUUUGGUAUUCCUUAGGGCAUGCCUGUUCGAGCGUCAUCUAAACCUUCAAGCCCUGCUUGGUGUUGGGUGCCUGUCCCACCUCCGCGCGCGGACUCACCUCAAAUCCAUUGGCGGCCCCCGCGUCGGCCACGAGCGCAGCAGAAACGCGAACUCGUGAGCCCGUCCGGGCGGCUCCCAGAAGCUACACCCACCCAGUUUGACCUCGGAUCAGGUAGGGAUACCCGCUGAACUUAAGC
RNAcentral lists this unclassified non-coding RNA (305 nucleotides) under plant metagenome. RNAcentral's name for it is "partial contains 5.8S ribosomal RNA, internal transcribed spacer 2, and large subunit ribosomal RNA". The stretch from base 1 to 105 matches the Rfam family "5.8S ribosomal RNA", at positions 50 to 154 of the family's 154-position model. The record is from RNAcentral.